CACGUAGGGUGCGAGCGUUGUCCGGAAUUAUUGGGCGUAAAGAGCUCGUAGGUGGUUUGUCGCGUUGUUCGUGAAAACUCACAGCUCAACUGUGGGCGUGCGGGCGAUACGGGCAGACUGGAGUACUGCAGGGGAGACUGGAAUUCCUGGUGUAGCGGUGAAAUGCGUUGAUAUCAGGAGGAACACCCAUGGCGAAGGCAGCAAACUGGUCAUCAACUGACGCUGAGGCGCGAAAGCGUGGGUAGCAAACAGG
Molecule: ribosomal RNA, 253 nt
Filed under: uncultured bacterium
Lineage: Bacteria
Description: partial 16S ribosomal RNA
Rfam family: Bacterial small subunit ribosomal RNA
Source: RNAcentral